CGGACAGUGUCUGGUGGGUAGUUUGACUGGGGCGGUCUCCUCCUAAAGAGUAACGGAGGAGCACGAAGGUUGGCUAAUCCUGGUCGGACAUCAGGAGGUUAGUGCAAUGGCAUAAGCCAGCUUGACUGCGAGCGUGACGGCGCGAGCAGGUGCGAAAGCAGGUCAUAGUGAUCCGGUGGUUCUGAAUGGAAGGGCCAUCGCUCAACGGAUAAAAGGUACUCCGGGGAUAACAGGCUGAUACCGCCCAAGAGUUCAUAUCGACGGCGGUGUUUGGCACCUCGAUGUCGGCUCAUCACAUCCUGGGGCUGAAGUAGGUCCCAAGGGUAUGGCUGUUCGCCAUUUAAAGUGGUACGCGAGCUGGGUUUAGAACGUCGUGAGACAGUUCGGUCCCUAUCUGCCGUGGGAGCUGGAGAACUGAGGGGGGCUGCUCCUAGUACGAGAGGACCGGAGUGGACGCAUCACUGGUGUUCGGGUUGUCAUGCCAAUGGCACUGCCCGGUAGCUAAAUGCGGAAGAGAUAAGUGCUGAAAGCAUCUAAGCACGAAACUUGCCCCGAGAUGAGUUCUCCCUGAGACUUAGAGUCUCCUGAAGGAACGUUGAAGACGACGACGUUGAUAGGCCGGGUGUGUAAGCGCAGCGAUGCGUUGAGCUAACCGGUACUAAUGAACCGUGAGGCUUAACCUUACAACGCCGAAG
RNAcentral lists this ribosomal RNA (695 nucleotides) under Salmonella enterica. RNAcentral describes it as "partial 23S ribosomal RNA". It matches the Rfam family "Bacterial large subunit ribosomal RNA", at positions 2248 to 2925 of the family's 2925-position model. The record is from RNAcentral. Lineage: Bacteria; Pseudomonadati; Pseudomonadota; Gammaproteobacteria; Enterobacterales; Enterobacteriaceae.